UCCCAGGUAGCUCAGUUGGUAAAGAAUUUGCCUGGAGUGCAGGUGACCUGGGUUCGAUCCCUGGGUUGGGAA
RNAcentral lists this transfer RNA (72 nucleotides) under Bos taurus (domestic cattle). It matches the Rfam family "tRNA". Rfam says of the family: Transfer RNA (tRNA) molecules are approximately 80 nucleotides in length. Their secondary structure includes four short double-helical elements and three loops (D, anti-codon, and T loops). Further hydrogen bonds mediate the characteristic L-shaped molecular structure. tRNAs have two regions of fundamental functional importance: the anti-codon, which is responsible for specific mRNA codon recognition, and the 3' end, to which the tRNAs corresponding amino acid is attached (by aminoacyl-tRNA synthetases). tRNAs cope with the degeneracy of the genetic code in two manners: having more than one tRNA (with a specific anti-codon) for a particular amino acid; and 'wobble' base-pairing, i.e. permitting non-standard base-pairing at the 3rd anti-codon position. Lineage: Eukaryota; Metazoa; Chordata; Mammalia; Artiodactyla; Bovidae. RNAcentral also lists the same sequence under 4 other names. The record is from Rfam by way of RNAcentral.